This 88-nucleotide ribosomal RNA is filed under the name Castor canadensis (American beaver). The record is from RNAcentral. Lineage: Eukaryota; Metazoa; Chordata; Mammalia; Rodentia; Castoridae.
AGUUACUGCCAUACCACCCACCCUGAAUGUGGCUGAUCUUGUCUCAUCUCAGAAGCUAAGCAGGGUUGGGCCUGGUUGUUAGUACUUG